UACGGGGGGAGCAAGCGUUGUUCGGAUUUACUGGGCGUAAAGGGCGCGUAGGCGGCUCAGUAAGUCAGGUGUGAAAACUCCAGGCUCAACCUGGAGACGCCACCUGAUACUGCUGUGGCUAGAGUCCGGUAGGGGAGCAUGGAAUUCCUGGUGUAGCGGUGAAAUGCGCAGAUAUCAGGAGGAACACCAGUGGCGAAGGCGGUGCUCUGGGCCGGAACUGACGCUGAGGAGCGAAAGCGUGGGGAGCAAACAGG
RNAcentral lists this ribosomal RNA (254 nucleotides) under uncultured bacterium. RNAcentral describes it as "partial 16S ribosomal RNA". It matches the Rfam family "Bacterial small subunit ribosomal RNA", at positions 524 to 776 of the family's 1533-position model. The record is from RNAcentral.